UACGAAGGGGGCUAGCGUUGCUCGGAAUUACUGGGCGUAAAGCGCACGUAGGCGGGUCGGUAAGUCGGGGGUGAAAUCCUGGAGCUCAACUCCAGAACUGCCUUCGAUACUGAGAGUCUCGAGUCCGAGAGAGGUGAGUGAAACUGCGAGUGUAGAGGUGAAAUUCGUAGAUAUUCGCAAGAACACCAGUGGCGAAGGCGGCUCACUGGCCCGGUACUGACGCUGAGGUGCGAAAGCGUGGGGAGCAAACAGG
Molecule: ribosomal RNA, 253 nt
Filed under: uncultured bacterium
Lineage: Bacteria
Description: partial 16S ribosomal RNA
Rfam family: Bacterial small subunit ribosomal RNA
Source: RNAcentral